GUGAGGAAUUUUGCGCAAUGGAUGCAAGUCUGACCCAGCCAUCCCGCGUGCCGGAAGAAGGCCCUCAGGGUUGUAAACGGCUUUUGACGGUGAAGAAUCGACAGGAUGCGUCCUGUUUUGACGGUAGCCGUUGAAUAAGCACCGGCUAACUCCGUGCCAGCAGCCGCGGUAAUACGGAGGGUGCGAGCGUUGUCCGGAUUUAUUGGGUUUAAAGGGUGCGUAGGCUGGAAGGUCAGUCAGCGGUGAAAAGCUGUCGCUUAACGAUAGUCUUGCCGCAGAUACUUCCGUUCUUGGAUGAGGAGGAGGCCACUGGAACGGAUGGUGUAGCGGUGAAAUGCAUAGAUAUCAUCCAGAACACCGAUUGCGAAGGCAGGUGGCUGUACCUUAAUCGACGCUGAUGCACGAAAGCAUGGGGAGCAAACAGGAUUAGAAACCCGGGUAGUCC
RNAcentral lists this ribosomal RNA (445 nucleotides) under uncultured bacterium. Its description in RNAcentral is "partial 16S ribosomal RNA". It matches the Rfam family "Bacterial small subunit ribosomal RNA", at positions 354 to 796 of the family's 1533-position model. The record is from RNAcentral.